This 558-nucleotide ribosomal RNA is filed under the name Trichoderma koningii. RNAcentral's name for it is "eukaryotic LSU rRNA". The stretch from base 181 to 334 matches the Rfam family "5.8S ribosomal RNA". The record is from RNAcentral. Lineage: Eukaryota; Fungi; Ascomycota; Sordariomycetes; Hypocreales; Hypocreaceae.
AUCGAGUAACUCCAAACCCAAUGUGAACCAUACCAAACUGUUGCCUCGGCGGGGUCACGCCCCGGGUGCGUCGCAGCCCCGGAACCAGGCGCCCGCCGGAGGGACCAACCAAACUCUUUCUGUAGUCCCCUCGCGGACGUUAUUUCUUACAGCUCUGAGCAAAAAUUCAAAAUGAAUCAAAACUUUCAACAACGGAUCUCUUGGUUCUGGCAUCGAUGAAGAACGCAGCGAAAUGCGAUAAGUAAUGUGAAUUGCAGAAUUCAGUGAAUCAUCGAAUCUUUGAACGCACAUUGCGCCCGCCAGUAUUCUGGCGGGCAUGCCUGUCCGAGCGUCAUUUCAACCCUCGAACCCCUCCGGGGGGUCGGCGUUGGGGAUCGGGAACCCCUAAGACGGGAUCCCGGCCCCGAAAUACAGUGGCGGUCUCGCCGCAGCCUCUCCUGCGCAGUAGUUUGCACAACUCGCACCGGGAGCGCGGCGCGUCCACGUCCGUAAAACACCCAACUUCUGAAAUGUUGACCUCGGAUCAGGUAGGAAUACCCGCUGAACUUAAGCAUAUCA